Molecule: ribosomal RNA, 1943 nt
Filed under: human gut metagenome
Description: bacterial LSU rRNA
Rfam family: Bacterial large subunit ribosomal RNA
Source: RNAcentral
UUAAGCGACUAAGCGUACACGGUGGAUGCCCUGGCAGUCAGAGGCGAUGAAGGACGUGCUAAUCUGCGAAAAGCGUCGGUAAGGUGAUAUGAACCGUUAUAACCGGCGAUGUCCGAAUGGGGAAACCCAGUGCAAUUCGUUGCACUAUCGUUAACUGAAUACAUAGGUUAACGAGGCGAACCGGGGGAACUGAAACAUCUAAGUACCCCGAGGAAAAGAAAUCAACCGAGAUUCCCCCAGUAGCGGCGAGCGAACGGGGAGCAGCCCAGAGUCUGAAUCAGCUUGUGUGUUAGUGGAACGGUCUGGAAAGUCCGACGGUACAGGGUGAUAGUCCCGUACACCAAAAUGCACAGGUUGUGAACUCGAAGAGUAGGGCGGGACACGUGGUAUCCUGUCUGAAUAUGGGGGGACCAUCCUCCAAGGCUAAAUACUCCUGACUGACCGAUAGUGAACCAGUACCGUGAGGGAAAGGCGAAAAGAACCCCGGCGAGGGGAGUGAAAAAGAACCUGAAACCGUGUACGUACAAGCAGUGGGAGCACCUUCGGGUGUGACUGCGUACCUUUUGUAUAAUGGGUCAGCGACUUAUAUUCUGUAGCAAGGUUAACCGUAUAGGGGAGCCGCAGGGAAACCGAGUCUUAACUGGGCGUUAAGUUGCAGGGUAUAGACCCGAAACCCGGUGAUCUAGCCAUGGGCAGGUUGAAGGUUGGGUAACACUAACUGGAGGACCGAACCGACUAAUGUUGAAAAAUUAGCGGAUGACUUGUGGCUGGGGGUGAAAGGCCAAUCAAACCGGGAGAUAGCUGGUUCUCCCCGAAAGCUAUUUAGGUAGCGCCUCGUGAAUUCAUCUUCGGGGGUAGAGCACUGUUUCGGCUAGGGGGUCAUCCCGACUUACCAACCCGAUGCAAACUACGAAUACCGAAGAAUGUUAUCACGGGAGACACACGGCGGGUGCUAACGUCCGUCGUGAAGAGGGAAACAACCCAGACCGCCAGCUAAGGUCCCAAAGUCAUGGUUAAGUGGGAAACGAUGUGGGAAGGCACAGACAGCCAGGAUGUUGGCUUAGAAGCAGCCAUCAUUUAAAGAAAGCGUAAUAGCUCACUGGUCGAGUCGGCCUGCGCGGAAGAUGUAACGGGGCUAAACCAUGCACCGAAGCUGCGGCAGCGACACUAUGUGUUGUUGGGUAGGGGAGCGUUCUGUAAGCCUGCGAAGGUGUGCUGUGAGGCAUGCUGGAGGUAUCAGAAGUGCGAAUGCUGACAUAAGUAACGAUAAAGCGGGUGAAAAGCCCGCUCGCCGGAAGACCAAGGGUUCCUGUCCAACGUUAAUCGGGGCAGGGUGAGUCGACCCCUAAGGCGAGGCCGAAAGGCGUAGUCGAUGGGAAACAGGUUAAUAUUCCUGUACUUGGUGUUACUGCGAAGGGGGGACGGAGAAGGCUAUGUUAGCCGGGCGACGGUUGUCCCGGUUUAAGCAUGUAGGCUGGUUAUCCAGGCAAAUCCGGAUAAUCAAGGCUGAGGUGUGAUGACGAGGCACUACGGUGCUGAAGUAACAAAUGCCCUGCUUCCAGGAAAAGCCUCUAAGCAUCAGGUAACAUCAAAUCGUACCCCAAACCGACACAGGUGGUCAGGUAGAGAAUACCAAGGCGCUUGAGAGAACUCGGGUGAAGGAACUAGGCAAAAUGGUGCCGUAACUUCGGGAGAAGGCACGCUGGUGUGUAGGUGAAGUCCCUGCGGAUGGAGCUGAGACCAGUCGAAGAUACCAGCUGGCUGCAACUGUUUAUUAAAAACACAGCACUGUGCAAACACGAAAGUGGACGUAUACGGUGUGACGCCUGCCCGGUGCCGGAAGGUUAAUUGAUGGGGUUAUCCGUAAGGAGAAGCUCUUGAUCGAAGCCCCGGUAAACGGCGGCCGUAACUAUAACGGUCCUAAGGUAGCGAAAUUCCUUGUC